ACCUCAGAUAUCCACAGAUAUUCGUGUGGCAAGGACGCGUUUGGAUCGUGUGUGUAAUUUUCUCCGUGGCGAAAUUUACAAACACGUCAAAGUUUUAAAGCAGAACUAUGCCACAAAAAUAUAAAAGAGAGGAAGGAAUGCGAGCUCGAGUAUGUUCUUGGACUAUAGAAAACCUACAGUCAGCUUUCGAUGAGAAAGUAUGAUUGUGCAAUGUGCAUGUUGACACUUGAUAUGAAUAUUU
Molecule: unclassified non-coding RNA, 241 nt
Filed under: Melitaea cinxia (Glanville fritillary)
Lineage: Eukaryota; Metazoa; Arthropoda; Insecta; Lepidoptera; Nymphalidae
Description: misc RNA ENSMCXG00005010906.1
Source: RNAcentral